GGGGAUUUAGCUCAGUGUUGGCUGGCACCUGCUUCGAAAGCACAAGGACCUAAGUUCAAACCCUGGUAUCCCCC
RNAcentral lists this transfer RNA (74 nucleotides) under Fukomys damarensis (Damara mole-rat). It matches the Rfam family "tRNA". Rfam says of the family: Transfer RNA (tRNA) molecules are approximately 80 nucleotides in length. Their secondary structure includes four short double-helical elements and three loops (D, anti-codon, and T loops). Further hydrogen bonds mediate the characteristic L-shaped molecular structure. tRNAs have two regions of fundamental functional importance: the anti-codon, which is responsible for specific mRNA codon recognition, and the 3' end, to which the tRNAs corresponding amino acid is attached (by aminoacyl-tRNA synthetases). tRNAs cope with the degeneracy of the genetic code in two manners: having more than one tRNA (with a specific anti-codon) for a particular amino acid; and 'wobble' base-pairing, i.e. permitting non-standard base-pairing at the 3rd anti-codon position. The record is from Rfam by way of RNAcentral. Lineage: Eukaryota; Metazoa; Chordata; Mammalia; Rodentia; Bathyergidae.